RNAcentral lists this ribosomal RNA (421 nucleotides) under uncultured bacterium. RNAcentral describes it as "partial 16S ribosomal RNA". It matches the Rfam family "Bacterial small subunit ribosomal RNA", at positions 360 to 773 of the family's 1533-position model. The record is from RNAcentral.
AAUCUUCCACAAUGGACGAAAGUCUGAUGGAGCACCGCCGCGUGAGUGAAGAAGGUUUUCGGAUCGUAAAGCUCUGUUGUGAGGGAAGAACAAGUACAUGUGUCACUGUCUGUACCUUGACGGUACCUCACCAGAAAGCCACGGCUACCUACGUGCCAGCAGCCGGGGUAAUACGUAGGUGGCAGGCGUUGUCCGGAAUUAUUGGUCGUAAAGCGCGCGCAGGCGGUCCUUUAAGGCUGAUGUGAAAGCCCACGGCUCAACCGUGGAGGGUCAUUGGAAACUGGAGGACUUGAGUACAGAAGAGGAAAGCGGAAUUCCACGUGUAGCGGUGAAAUGCGUAGAGAUGUGGAGGAACACCAGUGGCGAAGGCGGCUUUCUGGUCUGUAACUGACGCUGAGGUGCGAAAGCGUGGGGAGCAAAC